GGGGUGGUAGCUCAGGGGUAGAGCGAGCGUUUUCUAAACGCUUGGGCGUUGGUUCGAAUCCCACUCACUCCA
This 72-nucleotide transfer RNA is filed under the name Pseudomonas phage vB_PaeS_FBPa45. It matches the Rfam family "tRNA". Rfam says of the family: Transfer RNA (tRNA) molecules are approximately 80 nucleotides in length. Their secondary structure includes four short double-helical elements and three loops (D, anti-codon, and T loops). Further hydrogen bonds mediate the characteristic L-shaped molecular structure. tRNAs have two regions of fundamental functional importance: the anti-codon, which is responsible for specific mRNA codon recognition, and the 3' end, to which the tRNAs corresponding amino acid is attached (by aminoacyl-tRNA synthetases). tRNAs cope with the degeneracy of the genetic code in two manners: having more than one tRNA (with a specific anti-codon) for a particular amino acid; and 'wobble' base-pairing, i.e. permitting non-standard base-pairing at the 3rd anti-codon position. The record is from Rfam by way of RNAcentral. Lineage: Duplodnaviria; Heunggongvirae; Uroviricota; Caudoviricetes.